RNAcentral lists this ribosomal RNA (405 nucleotides) under uncultured bacterium. Its description in RNAcentral is "partial 16S ribosomal RNA". It matches the Rfam family "Bacterial small subunit ribosomal RNA", at positions 28 to 526 of the family's 1533-position model. The record is from RNAcentral.
GAUGAACGCUGGAGGCGGGCCUAAUACAUGCAAGUCGAGCGAAGCGGGGACGGGUGAGAAACACGUGGAUAACCUCCUAUAAGACUGGGAUAACGUCGGGAAACCGGAGAGAAACCGGAAACUUAUAGAUGGAUCCGAGCUGCAUUAGCUAGUUUGUAAGGUAACGGCUUACCAAGGCAACGAUGCAUAGCCGACCUGAGAGGGUGAUCGGCCACACUGGAACUGAGACACGGUCCAGACUCCUACGGGAGGCAGCAGUAGGGAAUCUUCCGCAAUGGGCGAAAGCCUUACGGAGCCACGCCGCUUGAGUGAUGAAGGUCUUCGGAUCGUAAAACUCUGUUAUUAGGGAAGCGGUACCUAAUCAGAAAGCCCCGGCUAACUACGUGCCAGCAGCCGCGGUAAUUC